UGUGUAGGCGGCCCUGCAAGUCGGAUGUGAAAGCCCCGGGCUCAACCCGGGAAGUGCACCCGAUACUGCUGGGCUCGAGUACCGGAGAGGUUGGUGGAAUUCUCGGUGUAGAGGUGAAAUUCGUAGAUAUCGAGAGGAACACCGGUGGCGAAGGCGGCCAACUGGACGAGUACUGACGCUGAGACACGAAAGCGUGGGGAGCAAACAGGAUUAGAUACCCUGGUAGUCCACGCCGUAAACGAUGGGUGCUAGGUGUCACGGGCUUUGACUCCUGUGGUGCCGUAGCCAACGCAUUAAGCACCCCGCCUGGGAAGUACGGCCGCAAGGCUAAA
This 332-nucleotide ribosomal RNA is filed under the name uncultured bacterium. RNAcentral describes it as "bacterial SSU rRNA". It matches the Rfam family "Bacterial small subunit ribosomal RNA", at positions 568 to 898 of the family's 1533-position model. The record is from RNAcentral.